RNAcentral lists this long non-coding RNA (10951 nucleotides) under Solanum tuberosum (potato). RNAcentral's name for it is "long non-coding RNA (STUB_LNC002666)". Lineage: Eukaryota; Viridiplantae; Streptophyta; Magnoliopsida; Solanales; Solanaceae. The record is from RNAcentral.
UUGAACUCAUUAAAUAAUGCACUUGGUAAAUGAUAGUACAUGAAAUAUUAGUUAUAACAGAGUAGACUUUCUAGUGUACUGUGUAUCAUGAUAAUGCAUGUCAGAGAGAUUUCAUAAUUUAUCUGAGCAAAUACUUAGUGCUGGAAUAAUAUCAGAAAGUGCUCUAUGUUUUAUCUGUUAUUAUUUGCUUUCAGUGUGCUGCAUUCUCUGUAGUUUGAAAAUUGUUUUCUGCAAUAAGAUCUGGUCAAUAAACCUUGUUGCUGUGUGGUGCUUUUCUCCGGUUAGACAUCUUGGUUGUGAACUCGAUCGAUGUGAUUAUUCAAUUUUAGUCCUUGACUAUGUCCUCAAUUUUGUUGUGACUCGUUGAACAUUGUAAAUUGUCCGUUGACCAUGAAGUUGUGAACACUUCACCGCUAACUUCAUUUCUUGAGCCUCAAAAAGAAUUUUGGCCUGCAUGGAGAAGCAGGACUUGAAUAAGUUACAACAUGGUCAACCAUGGACCAUGUGGAUGCCAUAUGACAAAUAUUCAUUAGAAUACAAAAUGGAGCAAAGUGGUAAAUAAAUAACAUAGUAGGGAGAAGGUUUCCUAACAUUUAAACAGGUGGGUGACACCGUUUCAAGGGACUAAAAAAUCGCAAUACUCUCUCAAAACAACAUGUUAUUAAUACAUAUCUUCUGGUUAUUAGCAUUAUCUGUUGGAGUUAAUGUUAUCUAAGUAUCUGAAAUUCAUCUGUAUCCAGCUUCACAGAGCUCUGCAAUAACGGUCAUGAGGCAAAGGAUUUCUCUGGUGUAUUUCGGUACUAUUACUCUGGAAAGGAUGAGCAGUAAUCCCCUCAGCUAAGGUAGAUGUCUUGGCUAGAGUUUCUGGUUCCACAAUUCGGAAUCCGGAAAGCUUGAUCCAAGAUUACUUGCUUGGUGCCCUGCAGAAAAAAUAAAAAUCUGUAUAGUAGAUGUUUUUAAUCCUUUUCUUCUUGCAUUUCAACAAUUCACUUGGUUGGAAUUGUGUAUAAAUGAUGAACAGUGAAGUUAGUGGACUGAUUUUUUAAUUUUACUGAUGUUAUAUGAAGUUUCCACUAAUGGUGUUAGAUACUUAAAUUUAAAUGGGAAAAGGCAUAAAUUCACCCCUAAAGUUGUCCCGAAAAGCCAGUUACACACUUAAACUAUUGGGGUGACCUAUUACACACCUAUACUAUUCAAAAGUGAAUAUUUUUCAGCGAGACAUCUAAAAUUGGUCAAUUCUUACUAUUUCCACAUCAAAUUCCUCAAGUCAAACACUGAUUAUUCAAUUUAAAAGUCUUUUUGUUGAUUGUGAGCAUUUGAAAUAAGAAAUUUUUUAGAUCUUUCUUUUUCUGUGUAAAAAGUUUCUGGAUUUUGCACAAAAUUUAACUUUUUAAUGUAUGUUCAUAGAUCUUUCUUCUCUCUUAGAAAAAUUCUCUCUAGAUUUUCUUCAAAAUCGGUAAUAAUAAAUCGAGCAUUAAUUUUUCAAUUGUUUGACAAAGAUCUUUGCGAAUAAAUAUUGGAAGUUUUUGUCAUUCUCCUCUUUGAGCUUGAAUGAAAUUUGUGAUAAUCUUUUGUGGUGGGUUUGGUGAUGGGUUAUAAAAUUAGUGGUGGUGUGGCUUUUAAUUUCGAUAAUGACAAUGAAACUCGUGAUUUUGAUGUGGAUGCUGAAAUUUAUUGUUAUGAUUGUGAUGAAUUUCAAUGGUAGCGAUGUGGUUUCGAUGGUGAAUUUAGUUAAAUUUAUUAUGGUUGUUAUCAAUUUUUGAUGAUGGCAGUGAUUGUGGAAGAUUCUGGUGGUGAAUUUGGUUGUGGGUGGUGAAAUCUAUGGUGAUGGAGAAGUGAAUUUGGUGAUAGUAGCAACAAUGGUAGUGGUUUAAUGGUGGAUGUGAUGGUGUAUAGGGAAGAAGAAACAAUUGGGCGAUAUGAAUUUUCUUUUUUGAAAUCUGACGUAAGUAUUGAUGUGGUAGUGAUAUGGUAAUGACGUGACGCGAGUGUGAAACACUUUCUCAUCAUCUGCCUGGUUGUAUGUUCGUCAGGGUUGGAAUAAAUUCACUUUUAAAUAAUUCAGGUAUGUAAUAGGUCGUCACAAUAAUUUAAGCGUGUAACUGACUUUUCGUAACAAGUUCAGGGGGGGAAUUUAUGCCUUUCCCAAAUUUAAAUUUCUGUUGAGAUAUUUUAGGUUGUCCAAUAUGUAUUUGCUGGGAAGUAGGCUUACAUUAAUUAAAAUAUUUUAUUUAUAUAUUACGAAAAAGGGUAAAAAAUGCUCCUUCUCUUUAUCUAUUAGGAAAAAUUUCUUGUUAUACAACUGGGAUAAAGUUAUAUUAUUGUUAUACAUUAUGUACUAUUAAAAAAUUAGUAAAUAUUGUUAUAAUAUGUUUUGCUCAUAAGUAAGCUAAUAUAGAAACUUAUUUGUCAUUUGUUUUUAUUUUAUUUUUAAUUUCAAUUUUAAAUAGCAAAUAAAUGCAGCGAUGGGAUUGAAGGUAGAAAUGAAACAUAUCUUUCUAAAUUUAAGUAAAAAUAAAUAGAGUAGAAGUAGGGGUGUCGACGAAAUCAAAGAAUAUAUAGACUGGUAGAGGCCCUCUAUGUAGUUGUCUAUUUAGGGCGAUCGAUCUACAUCUUUCCCCAUAGCCCUGAGGUUGUGUCUCGAUCUCCUAUGUGCUAAAUAUAAGGGACUAGUUCCUAUAGAGAUUCCCCUUGGUCUAACAGACGGUUCGGUUGGUUAUUUUUAAAAAAAUUACAUCAUCUCAAUUUUCCGGCUAUUUUAUGAUGUAUAAUCAAAAUUAAUUUUUUUAAAACCAUCUCAAUCCCUAUUUAGGACACAAGCAAUACAAAAUUAGCCUCUUUUUUUUGUUGUCUUGUAGAUAUUUUAAGUUAUUAAUUAUUGUAAUUUAUAGUACUUUCUAUGUAAUUUUUAAAUAACAUAUGUUACUUUCUAUGUUCCAAUUUAUGUGCCACUAUAAAAUUUUGAGAGUUAACCAAUUUUUUUAUAUGUCUUUUCAAUAUUUUAAGUUGUUAAUUAUUGUGAUUUAUAGUAAUUUUUAGGUCAUUCUCAAAUAAUAUAUGUUACUCUCUUGGUCCCAUUUUAUCAGGCACAGUAAAAUUUUGAGAGUCAACUAAAUUUUUAUGUCUUUUAAAUUACUCAUAUUAAUUAUUGUAAUCUAUAGUAUUGUUUAUGUAGUUCUCAAAUAUAUAACAAACUAAAAUAAAAUAAAAUAAACAAACAAAUUAAAAUGAAAAAAAUAAAAAAAUGACCACGAUAAAAAGAAAGCAAUAAGGUUGUUCCAUGAUAAAGCAAGAGAGUGGGUCCGAUUAUGACAUAUAAACAUAAUUGGCAAUGUGUUAGCCAUCACAAAACAAAGGGUACAAUUGUCCAAGGAAAGAACUUAGAAGUGGUUGUGUCUCAUAAAAGAGAAGAAGCAGCUUUGAAAAAGAAUGAAUUGACCAAAAUAGCCUCAAAUUGAAUAUCAAUUUCAAAUAACAUACAUGUUAACGGAGAGGAGGUUGCUAUUUGUCCUUUUUUAGUAGUAAAAUAAUAGUGAAAUAUAUAUUGUUGCGAAAUAGAGUUAGAACAGAAGGAGUAUACCUUGUAUCCUAACUCUAAUCAUAUUCUAACUCUAAUGUAUCUCCUUAGAUUUGUAGUUGUACUAGGAUUCUACUUGUGGCCGUAUGUAAUUGUAUAAGUAGCAUAAGUGAAACGACCCCAAAAAUGCCCGAAAAUGUGCUUCGGAAACACCUAUAAUUGUAAUUUCCAUAUAUCUCAAAAUCCGUUUCGUUUUUCGAAAAUCCGACUUCAUAUUCUUGUUUAGGGGGUCAAAUUGAGUGGGAAAUGGGUCUAACCCAAAUUUUAGAGCAACCGUAUCAAAAUCCGAAAUUUCCAAGUGAAGCCUUUUUCGAGGGUCUACUUUGGAGGGUCAUAUCUCCUAGCACACAAAUUAUUGGGUGGCCAAUAACAUAUCCAUGGAAAGCCCUUUGAGUUAGCUACCUAACGCACUUCGUUUCACCUCAUUCGGAGUUCGGACGAAGAAGUUAUGCCCAUUUUCGUAAAAUCUGUCCGGCAGGAAAGGCAAUUUCCAGUGAGCGUUUUUACUGUUCACCCGCCUCAUUUUUUUUUCUAAGUGUUGGACCAUUUUUCCAAAGGGCAUAUGUUAUUUCCUAUAUACCAUUAGUUCAAUUCCCAUCUCUAAAACAUUUCCCAAAACACCUCUCCCAUACUUAGACACAUUUUCUCUCAAGUUCUCUCAAGAACCCUAAUCCAAAACCUUCCUCAAGAUUGAAGAGACUCUUGCUCCAAGUUCCAAGCUUCCAUUGAAGACACUCUCAAGACCUUCAUAAAAACUCAAGGUAUGUGGUGUUGAACUCAUGGGUCCUUCCACCCAUAGUGCCUAGACUCUAUUCUACUCACUAAUUCAUGGUUUAAGUUAAGAUUCAUAAAUUAGUCUUGUUCUUUGUAAUAAUUUCCUGCACAUUGAAUUUUAAACAUGAAAAGUGAUUGUUUUGAGCAUGUUGUGACCCUAGAACUUGAACCUAAAUUUGGAAUGGAUGUGGAGAUUUUCAUGUGGUAUUGUGGGUGUUAAAAAGGUGUUGUUGUAGGUUGUUCACUGGUUUGGCUGCAUAAUUACUACCCUAUUUUCCAUGCUCUUUGAUUCCAUUACAUGCCUUCAAGGUGUUUGACAAAAUGUCCAACUAUGGAGAAUUGAUGAAUCGAUGCUUUAAAGCUUGAGUUAUGAGAUGUAUGGAAAUCCAGAGAUGUGUUGAUGACAAACUAAGCUUGUGUAUAUGUUCAUUCCAUACGUGAGAUUGCAUUAGAGCCUAAUGGGAAUUUCCUAUAUAAAGUGUUGCAUGACCAUGCCCGGUCCGGGGGAAAAGAACCGGACAACCAUGUGAGAGGUUUAUAUCUCACCACCUAGGAUGCUUGGGGUGUGACCAACAUCAACCAUGUGAGAGGUUUAUAUCUCACCACCUAGGAUGCUUGGGGUGUGACCAACAUCAACCAUGUGAGAGGUUUAUAUCUCACCACCUAGGAUGCUUGGGGUGUGACCAACAUCAACCAUGUGAGAGGUUUAUAUCUCACCACCUAGGAUGCUUGGGGUGUGACCAACAUCAACCAUGUGAGAGGUUUAUAUCUCACCACCUAGGAUGCUUGGGGUGUGACCAACAUCAACCAUGUGAGAGGUUUAUAUCUCACCACCUAGGAUGCUUGGGGUGUGACCAACAUCAACCAUGUGAGAGGUUUAUAUCUCACCACCUAGGAUGCUUGGGGUGUGACCAACAUCAACCAUGUGAGAGGUUUAUAUCUCACCACCUAGGAUGCUUGGGGUGUGACCAACAUCAACCAUGUGAGAGGUUUAUAUCUCACCACCUAGGAUGCUUGGGGUGUGACCAACAUCAACCAUGUGAGAGGUUUAUAUCUCACCACCUAGGAUGCUUGGGGUGUGACCAACAUCAACCAUGUGAGAGGUUUAUAUCUCACCACCUAGGAUGCUUGGGGUGUGACCAACAUCAACCAUGUGAGAGGUUUAUAUCUCACCACCUAGGAUGCUUGGGGUGUGACCAACAUCAACCAUGUGAGGGGUUUAUACCUUGCCACCAGGGUGUCCGGGUGUGAACGGCAUCCCCCAUCCUAAGUUGGGGUUAUAGAUUGGUUGGAUCAUGCAUACACAUAUGAUAUCUACUAUUAGUAUAGAGUUACUUAAACAUGUUUUGACUUCACUUUGAUCAUGCAUCCUCAUAUUGUUAUUCAUAAUGCCUAUGAAACUAUUUCUUGUAUUUCGAUUGUGUCCUUGUUUAUUGUUGUGUUGCACCCCGCAUACUUAGUACAUUCCAAGUACUAACGCAUAUUUUGCCUACAUGAUGUCACCAUGUAGGGACCGGAGUUACUCUUGAUCCUUCUCUUCAUUCACGUGGCUAGUACGGUGCUUAUCCGAGUUGUUGGUGAGUCCUCAAUGAUUCGAGGGCUAUGUUAUGUUUCCUACUCCUAUGUUUUGAGACUUUAGCUUGUAAUUGUAUUUUGACUAUGAGGGGAGCCGGUAGAAUGUCAUGGCCCCGUCCUAUCUAUGUAUGUAGAGGUGUGCGUUGGACAAGUAUUUUGUAAAUGAGCUUGACUCUUGUUCUAUGAUGUCAUUUUGAAAUGGUUGCCCUUAGUCCCUAUUUCCCGUUAAUUAAUGUUGAAUGUACUUCCGCGACCGAUGAAGUGUGAUGACAAGUUUGAGAGGCUUGUUUGGGGUUCCUUCGGGUUCCUCAUUCGCCAUGUCACGUCUAGGCCCUAGGCUUGGGUCGUGACAAUAAGUAUUGUACACAAUUAUCAAGAAAUAAUAUCCUCCCUUCUCUCUGGUUAUGUGUUUUCUACAUGGUAUCAAAGCAUUGACACACACAAACCUAUGCUUCAUCAAACUUGUUCAAGAACCAAUGGCUUCCUCUUCACAGCCUCUUUGUCCCUCUCAACUUCUUCAUUGCACCAUCUUAUGGUUGCAUGUCCUAUCAAACUUAAACCUACCAAUUACCUUAAAUGGAGAACACAAAUUCUACAACUGAUGCAAGUAAUGAAGGUGACUAAGUUGGUCCAAGAAAACAAAGCUGAUGACACCAGCCAAAGAUAACAAUGGAAAGGCAGUUGAUGGACAAGAGAAAGCUUCCGAUAGUAAUUGGGAUGAAGAAGAUGUUCUGCUAAGAACCUGGAUCUCAGGAACUAUGACUGAAGAGAGCAUGUAUCUCAUUGUGGGCUGCUCAACAGCCAAGGGGAUGUGGGAAUGCUUGGAGGAAGCCUACCUUCAAGCAACAAAGGAUAAAGAGUUCCAACUUAAGCAACAAUUGCUAAACAUUAAGUUAGGAACCAAGAAACUUGAUGAGUACUUGAAAGAAUUCAAAGGCAUAUGUGAUGGACUUGCUGCCAUACACAAGCCAGUUAAUGAAGACAACAAAGUCAUUAACUUUGCCCGAGGACUGGGUCCAAAGUACAAGACAUUUAGGACUGUUAUGUUAGGAAAGCCCCCUAUCCUACCUUCAAUCAAUUUGUCAAUACUCUUAGAGGUUUUGACAUGAGAGAAUAAGAGGAAGAGGUGCCCCAACAAGACUAUAACAUGACCUUUACUUCACAGAGAGGUAGGGGUCGAGGGAGUUACAAUCACAUGAGAGGUAACUCUAGUUUUAACUCAAGAGGAAGAGGAUUCAGGGAUGCUAGACACUCAAAUAAUAAUCAAAACAGUCAUAAUAUGCAGACUACAAACACUGAGAAAGUAAAACCCAUGCCUACCCUAUGUCAAAUAUGUGGUAGAAAUAAUCAUACUGCUUUGAAAUGCUUCUAUACGUGGAAUUACUCUUAUCAAGCUGAAGAUGAUCUUCCGCAGGCCCUAUCCUCCAUGAACAUGCAGAAUAUCAUAGGUGAAGAUGCUGCAAUGUAUGUGGAUUCUGGUGCAACGAACUCACAUGACAAACACAUCAGGUAAUCUAUCUGAUCUUCAAAUUUAUAAUGGGACAGACAAAAAAUUGUUGGCAAUGGUUCGCAAUUAGCAAUUACAUAUGUUGGAAAUCUCAACAAGUCAAGUUUGAAAGUUAAAGAUAUACUGGUAGUCCCUAAAAUCACAAAGAAUAUUCUUUCAAUUAGUAAACUUGCAAAAGACAAUUUUGUAACUCUUGAGUUUGAUGAAUUUGGUUUUCUUAUUAAGGACAAGAAGUCAGGAACACCACUGGCCAAGGGCUCUAAUGCAGGAUGACUCUAUCAAUUGGAAGACAACAAUCUUUUUGCCUUAACAACAACACAAGAUUGGAAGAGGUCAGAGAGUAUUUGUCACUCUAGAUUAGGACAUCUUAGUCUGAAAUCUUUAAAAAAAUUUAGUAGAGCAAUAAAUGCAUCGGUGUUUGGAGUUGGAAUAAGGUGCCCAGUAUUUGUACUAGCUGUCAAUUAGGGAAAAGUUGUAAACUUUCUUUUGAGUUGAGAAAUAAAAUUGAGCAGAUUCCUUUACACAAAAUACAUUGUGAUCUUUGGGGAUCAACACCUGUUGAGUCUUCCCAACAUAUGAAAUACUAUGUGAUCUUUGUGGAUGAUAAUACUAAAUAUACUUGGCUCUAUCUCUUUGUGGAUGAUAAUAAUAUAUAUACUUGGCUCUAUCCUUUGAAGAAGAAAUCUGAAUUCUUUGAAGUUUUUCUCAAGUUUCAACAAAUGGUAGAAAAAUAAUUUUCGAAAACUAUUAAAAUUUUCCAGUGUGAUGGAGGUGGUGAAUUUAUCCAAAUUGAGUUUGUCAAGCAUUUGGAGACCUGUGGCAUCAUUAGGCAAAUAUAUUAUCCUCACACUCCUGAGCAGAAGGGAGUUUCCAAGAGGAAACAUAGACACAUAGUGGAAACUGGGCUGACCUUGUUGUUUCAUGCUAAGUUGCCUCAGUUCUUAUGGGUUGAAGCAUUUCUAACUGUCGUGUUUCUAAUAAACAGAAUGCCUUCCUUAGUUCUAAAGCAUGGUAUCCCGUUUGUGAAGCUUUUUGGUGCCUCUCCUGAUUAUAAUAGCCUGGAAGUUUUUGGUUGGAGAUGUUAUCCUUACCUGAAGGGAUAUAAUAAGUUCUCACCAAAGACAUAUCUUUGUAUAUUUAUUGGCUAUAGUAGCCUACACAAAGGAUAUAGGUGCUACCAUCCACAUACCAGGAGGGUGUAUGUGUCUAGGCAUGUCAUAUUUGAUGAGCGCGCAUUGCCCUAUGUGCAGACUAAUAAGCAUAAUAUUAAUAUCUCACCUCAUCUUGCACUUUCCUUGAAUUUUUCUCCAUUGUGCAGAAUCCAGAUACCAGUUCAAGUGACACUAUCACUUCAGGGGAAGUGUUGGACAACUUGAAUGAAACAAUUGCACCAACAACUAUAACAGUGGUAGACACUCAGGUUCAACCUGAUCCUUCUGGACAAGUUCUGACUAACUCUAGUUCAGAGUAUGAUAGUGAAGACAACCAUAGUGACAACAAUGAUGGUCAAGAUGUGGAAGCUCUGUUAGGAGAUGAUCAAAGUAUUGAUAACUCAACAAAUUCGACUCCUGCAAAUACAAGUGAAGAUGGCACCAAUGAAGCGCAAGCGCCCAAUGUAUAACUAGAAGUUGACUUCUCAAAUUGGCUUAACACUAAGCAUACUGAUCCUAUGGAAACUUCUGUAAAUGAAAAUGAAGGUGGAGAAGACAAUGUAGAGGGACAUCACAUGGUCACAAGGAAUAAAGCUAAGCAAAUUUCCAUAACUCACACCUCACUAGCGGCAGAAAAAUUGAGCAUGGAACCUACCACUGUGAAACAAGCACUAGCAAGUCCACACUGGUAUAAAGCAAUGCAAGAAGAAGUUGACGCUUUGCACAAAAACCAGACUUGGACCUUGAUACCAAGAACUGCGUCAUGAAUGUAGUUGGCUCCAAAUGGGUGUUUAAGACCAAAUUAAAGUCAAAUGGUACUAUAGAUAGGUACAAAGCCACGCUAGUGGCAAAGGGAUAUUUACAACUUGAAGGCAUUGACUUUGAAGAGACCUUCAAUCCAGUAGUCAAGGCUACCACUAUAAGAGUAGUACUAUUAGUUGCAGUUAGUCUACAAUGUCCUAUCAGACAAUGUCAAAAAUGCUUUCUUGCAUGGACAUCUCCAGGAGGAAGUGUUCAUGAGCCAACUUCCCGGCUUUGCUGAUAAACAAUAUCCAAAACAUGUUUUCCUACUCAAGAAAGCAUUGUAUGGUCUUAAACAAGCACCUAGGGACUGGUUUGAUAGGUUCAGUCUCCAUCUACUUCACCUUGGGUUUAAGUGUAGCAAGGCAGAUUCCUAAUUGUUCAUACUUCAGUGUGAUAGAGAGACGAUUCUGCUUCUAUUGUAUGUGGAUGAUAUAAUAAUUACUGGUAGCUCUUCUGAGCUCAUUGCAAAUAUAAUCACAGGGCUUGAAAGGGAGUUUGCCACGAAGGAUCUUGGACCAUUACAUUUCUUCCUAGGAGUUGAGGUAAGGUACUUCAAUGAUGGUAUUCAUUUGAAUCAAGGGAAGUAUGUUGUUGAGCUACUUAUGAAGACUGACAUGGCUCUUGCCAAAGCAGUGAUCAUAUCUUGCAACAACUUGACAUAGCUUGAACGUUUAGAGGCUCAUCUUUGCAAGCUAGGGUAAGUUCAAAAAACUCCUUUUCACUUCCAAUAUGGUUGUUAUCAUGAAUGCCAACAAUAAGAAGGUAUCAUCACUUGGUUUCCCCGAUAAGUUUAUGGCUACAGAAGCUAAGUUGGGAUCCACUAUAUGUAUCGAUAAAGAAUGUGAAGCUGAUGACGAUUACAAUGAUGAUGAUGCAUCAAAAAUAGCACCAGCAGCAUGAUGUUGUUCCCAUCUCAAAGAGAGAUACAUAUAUAUAAUAAGAGCCAAUGGUAUAAAUUUUGAAUAAUGAAUUGGGGUGGAGAAGCUAAGGAAGAGAUCAGUGCAUGAGAGAUAUCUUAAUAUUUUCUACUUAAUAUAUACUUGUGUCACACUUUGUACAUCCCAUUAAUAAAUAAUAAUGGGACUACUAUAUAAUGGUAGGAGUGCAUGACAAAUUCCAUCUACACAAAUAAAAUAAUUAAAAAUUUAACUAAACAAACUAGCAACAAUUCAAUCAAGAACACAUCUAUAAAUGAAAUCUUAAAAAUGGAGAUUUUUCAACUACAUAAUAUAACAAAUUGUUCAUAUUUGGCAUAAAUUUGUUUAAGCAAAUAAGAGAACACCACAUAUUAUAGCACUUUUCAAGAUAUAAUCCUGAUAGAUAAGUACAGAGAGACGACAAAUAUAUAUACUCAUGAUAAGAAUAGUUACUACUUCAUAAAUUGAAAAUAGAAAAGCUUAAAGUUUGAACUCACCGGUUAUGAAAAAAGAGAUAUAAUCGUCAAUAUAGAGGAGACGCCUGCAAAGUGGUCAAGAAAAUUAAAUAACAAUCCAAUUCUAUAGAGAAAAUUAAGCAUACAUUAACUGUAAUUUGUUGAUAGAAGAAAAACCAAAUAGAAGGAGA